AUUGAACGCUGGCGGCAUGGCUAAAACAUGCAAGUCGAGGGAGAAGUCAACUUCGGUUGGCGGACGCCGGCGAAAGGGCUAGUAAUGGUAUCGAACGUACCCCGAGGUCAAGGAUAGCUGGGGGAAACUCCAGGUAAUACUUGAUAUCCUCUACGGAGGAAAGCUCCGGCGCCUUGGGAGCGGCGAUACUCCUAUCAGGUUGUUGGUGAGGUAACGGCUCACCAAGCCUAAGACGGGUAGCGGGUGUGAGAGCAUGACCCGCAGCAUCGGAACUGAGACACUGUCCGG
RNAcentral lists this ribosomal RNA (288 nucleotides) under uncultured bacterium. Its description in RNAcentral is "partial 16S ribosomal RNA". It matches the Rfam family "Bacterial small subunit ribosomal RNA", at positions 30 to 334 of the family's 1533-position model. The record is from RNAcentral.